GGGGCUGCACUGGUUUCGACGUGGGUACAGAAUCGCCGUGGUGCAUGUCGAGCUUGAGUGACGCUCGUAAAUCUCUGCUCAAAAAACUAACUGCAAACGACGAACGUUUCGCACUCGCCGCUUAAACACCGGUGAGCCUCGCAACAGCAGGCCAAUGGGCUGGGCAAGGGUGCCGCAAGGCGUCCAGGCUGCGAGGUAAUCUACAUUGGCUGGUUCCACGCCGGGUGUCUUGGCAUGGGGCGAGAUUCAAGGGCACUGGCCUGUGUCAUAGCGUGCGACUGCGCGAUGGCAUGGGUGAGAUCCAAAACAGACCGCUAAACAUGUAGAUCUGCGCGAGGACGGCUGACGGACGGGGGUUCAAAUCCCCCCAGCUCCACCA
Molecule: transfer-messenger RNA, 379 nt
Filed under: Burkholderiales
Lineage: Bacteria; Pseudomonadati; Pseudomonadota; Betaproteobacteria
Also listed under: 3 other names
Description: Comamonas_F sp003752175 Standard tmRNA
Rfam family: transfer-messenger RNA
About the family: Bacterial tmRNA, also known as 10Sa RNA or SsrA, is named for its dual tRNA and mRNA-like properties. Its role is to liberate the mRNA from a stalled ribosome.
Source: RNAcentral